Long non-coding RNA from Sus scrofa (pig), 1164 nucleotides. RefSeq lists it as uncharacterized. The record is from RefSeq and is a predicted model, not a curated record. NCBI's taxonomy places the organism in Eukaryota, Metazoa, Chordata, Mammalia, Artiodactyla, Suidae.
UAAUGAUGAUUUAAAGCUUUUUUUUUUAACCCAGACUAGUCUCUGUUAAGUUCCUUGUUUUAUGUCCAAGUAAAGGCUUUUCCCAGGUGUCUCCAAGUCUCUAUUUAAGAGGUGGGGGAGGGAUAAAAGGCUGAAACACCAAGCUAAGUGUGGGCUUGUUAAGCGUUGAAGUAGUGGAUGGGAUCUUUGGGGGGUGUCUUUUUUCUUUAGGUCUGUCCACUUUGGACAUGUCAGACUCUUCCAAAUUCCUACCUGGAGGUAAAGACCUACUAGAAGCCUCCUGGGACUGCAGCCUUCAUCAGGUUCCAAGUAGGAGGGCCAGGCCACAGUGUGAAACGCUCUUAGCAGAAUCCUGCUGGGGUGACAAGGCAGAAGAAAAAGGCAGAUGGCUCCCUACUGCCCUUAGGAUGACAUCCAAAUGGGCUGCCUGCUGCAUGAACAAAGGCCGUCCUCAGCCUGCCUCUGGGCACUGCUCCAGCCAUGCCCUUGUCAUGUGCAGCCCAUCGCAACCACAAGAACUCUGCAGCCCUUGGAAGAGGUCUCCUGGGACCCCAGGCUACCCCCUCAACAGAGAACAUUCUUCCCUCUUAGCCAACUCGUACGCAUCCCUCAGAACUUAGAUGUCACCUCCUCCGGGAAGCUGUCCCAGAAUGCCUCAGAGGAGAAGCAGCAGGUCUUAACUGUUAGGCGUUCAGGCACAGUUGGGUUAGACUCCCACCUGCUAGCUGUAUUAAUGGCCUCGGGCUGCUGAAACAAAGUACCACAAGCUGGCUGUUUCAAACAACUGAAAUUUCUUGUCACGUAAUUCUGGAUGCUUAACGUCCCAAAUCCAGGUGUCAGCAGAGCAGAUGCUUUCUGAGGGCUGUGAGGGAGAAUCUGUUCUGUGCCGGUCUCUCAGCUUGCCUUGUAGAGGCCCUUCUCCCUGUGCCCUUGCAUCAUCUUCCCUCUAUGUGACAUCUGUGUCCAAAUGUCCCCAUUUUAUAAGGACACGAGUCAUAUUGAAUUAGAGCUUAGCCUAAUGACCUCAUCUUAACUUAAUUACCUCUGUAAAAAGGCCUGUCUCCAACUAAGAUUGUAUUCUCAAGUUCUGGGGGUGGGUUAGGAUUUCAAUGUAUCUAUUGUGAGAGACACAAUUCAAUGCAUUACACUACUAGUUGACCUUGA